Wasmannia auropunctata (little fire ant) is the source of this 762-nucleotide long non-coding RNA. RefSeq lists it as uncharacterized. The record is from RefSeq and is a predicted model, not a curated record. The transcript has 3 exons. NCBI's taxonomy places the organism in Eukaryota, Metazoa, Arthropoda, Insecta, Hymenoptera, Formicidae.
UGUCAAAGUAAUAUCGACAUAAUUCUGCGUCCGUAAACGUUUCCGCUCGUUACCAAGGAAACUGUUCUUUCGAGUAUUUUCAGAGUGUCUCGUGUAGAAUAAAUCAACGGCAAACGAACGUCAAAAAUCAUCUUUUUGCUUGCAAAGGUAACAUUCCCAACUCUAAUGGUUAUAAGUAUGGCAGAGCCAAAAGCUUAUCGGGAACGAUCGUAUUCCUUAUCGCGACUGCCGCGGGCCGCGGGCGUACAAGUCCCACAGGUGAAAUGAUCAAAGUUCGCUAGGUGCCGCGCCACUCGUGCCUGUCCUCGUCAAUUUACACGUAAUAUGUCACGUAGAAGCGCAUCGAGCGAGGGUCGUGGAAAACGACGCGCUCGUGCACUGAUUUCACGGGCCACCUGUCGCACCGACGCCUCAUCCGCCCUAUUCGUUUCGUCGCAUCGGUCACGCAGGGUGUAAGACAUUAUUCUACACGGAGGGUAAGCGGACCGCACCGUGGAAACUAGCUCUGACUUAUUUAUGAAAAUCGUAAAUGGAAACUCUACUUUCGCUGUGAUCUAAUUUCUUACUAUCAUGUAUUUCAAUCAUUUCUCUUAAUAUUCCUUUUUUGUAAUUGAUAUUCCCUUUUUAAAAAAAAGGAAGUUAUGUAUAUAUUUUCAGGAAGUAGAAAUAAGUAGAAUAAAGAUUUUUCUGCUUAUUGUUAGAAUUUAAAAGAAAAUGCACGCUUUAAAAUUAAUAUAAAUAAACUAUCCAUAAUUAUAUUUA